CGUAGGGUGCGAGCGUUAAUCGGAAUUACUGGGCGUAAAGCGUGCGCAGGCGGUUGUGCAAGACAGAUGUGAAAUCCCCGGGCUCAACCUGGGAACUGCAUUUGUGACUGCACAGCUUGAGUGCGGCAGAGGGGGAUGGAAUUCCGCGUGUAGCAGUGAAAUGCGUAGAUAUGCGGAGGAACACCGAUGGCGAAGGCAAUCCCCUGGGCCUGCACUGACGCUCAUGCACGAAAGCGUGGGGAGCAAACAGGAUUAGAUACCCUGGUAGUCCACGCCCUAAACGAUGUCAACUGGUUGUUGGAAGGUUCCUUCUCAGUAACGUAGCUAACGCGUGAAGUUGACCGCCUGGGGAGUACGGCCGCAAGGUUG
Molecule: ribosomal RNA, 369 nt
Filed under: uncultured organism
Description: bacterial SSU rRNA
Rfam family: Bacterial small subunit ribosomal RNA
Source: RNAcentral